RNAcentral lists this unclassified non-coding RNA (330 nucleotides) under soil metagenome. RNAcentral describes it as "partial contains 5.8S ribosomal RNA, internal transcribed spacer 2, and large subunit ribosomal RNA". The stretch from base 1 to 120 matches the Rfam family "5.8S ribosomal RNA", at positions 35 to 154 of the family's 154-position model. The record is from RNAcentral.
GAUGAAGAACGCAGUGAAAUGCGAUAAGUAAUGUGAAUUGCAGAAUUCAGUGAAUCAUCGAAUCUUUGAACGCACAUUGCGCCCCCUGGUAUUCCGGGGGGCAUGCCUGUUCGAGCGUCAUUUCACCACUCAAGCCUCGCUUGGUAUUGGGCAACGCGGUCCGCCGCGUGCCUCAAAUCGACCGGCUGGGUCUUCUGUCCCCUAAGCGUUGUGGAAACUAUUCGCUAAAGGGUGCUCGGGAGGCUACGCCGUAAAACAAACCCAUUUCUAAGGUUGACCUCGGAUCAGGUAGGGAUACCCGCUGAACUUAAGCAUAUCAAUAAGCGGAGG